CGCAAAGACCGAUGCUGUAUGCAGAUCUGGCACGACUUUCAACAGAGCUGAAUCUGCUGUUGAUACUACCCUUGUAGCUGUCGAAGGUGGAGCAUGUCACAUACCAAGCAGAGGUGGUGUGAGCGCAAAGAACAAGGCUUACUACGUUGCCAACGAUGUCUCUUCCGUUCAAUCUUCAGUCAGCAGUUUGAGCAGCAGAGUGGGAUCCGUCGAGAGCGACGUCAAGGCAGUAAAGGAGACCGUGAACAGCUUGAACAAAUGUGCCAAGGCAGAGGAUAUGUUCCUUUGCAUGUUCGGCAUUGAUUAUUAAACCCUCCCUUCAUCCUUCAAGUCAUGGAUAGGAAACCAAGACCCUGUAUCAGUGUUUUAAAUACCCAGUACCAUGACAUCAUAUAAUAAAAUAAAAAAGCAUCAAAAAAA
Molecule: unclassified non-coding RNA, 420 nt
Filed under: Ciona intestinalis (vase tunicate)
Lineage: Eukaryota; Metazoa; Chordata; Ascidiacea; Phlebobranchia; Cionidae
Description: Ci-Ends8
Source: RNAcentral